RNAcentral lists this ribosomal RNA (251 nucleotides) under uncultured bacterium. RNAcentral describes it as "partial 16S ribosomal RNA". It matches the Rfam family "Bacterial small subunit ribosomal RNA", at positions 526 to 776 of the family's 1533-position model. The record is from RNAcentral.
UACAGGGGGCAAGCGUUGUUCGGAAUUACUGGGCGUAAAGGGCGCGUAGGCGGCCUUCUAAGUCGAACGUGAAAUCCCCGGGCUCAACCCGGGAACUGCGUCCGAUACUGGAAGGCUUGAAUCCGGGAGAGGUGAGUGGAACUGCGAGUGUAGAGGUGAAAUUCGUAGAUAUUCGCAAGAACACCAGUGGCGAAGGCGGCUCACUGGCCCGGUACUGACGCUGAGGUGCGAAAGCGUGGGGAGCAAACAGG